Molecule: ribosomal RNA, 253 nt
Filed under: uncultured bacterium
Lineage: Bacteria
Description: partial 16S ribosomal RNA
Rfam family: Bacterial small subunit ribosomal RNA
Source: RNAcentral
UACAGAGGGUGCGAGCGUUACUCGGAAUUACUGGGCGUAAAGCGCACGUAGGCGGCUUGGUAUGUCGGGUGUGAAAUCCCCGGGCUCAACCUGGGAACUGCAUCCGAGACUGCCUUGCUAGAGUAUGGGAGAGGGAAGUGGAAUUUCCGGUGUAGCGGUGAAAUGCGUAGAUAUCGGAAGGAACAUCAGUGGCGAAGGCGACUUCCUGGACCAAUACUGACGCUCAGGUGCGAAAGCGUGGGGAGCAAACAGG